Molecule: long non-coding RNA, 862 nt
Organism: Oryza brachyantha (malo sina)
Lineage: Eukaryota; Viridiplantae; Streptophyta; Magnoliopsida; Poales; Poaceae
Exons: 3
Source: RefSeq, a predicted model, not a curated record
UUGAUUCGACCCACCAUAACACCCAGCCGCGUGCGCGCCGCCGCCGGAAGCCGGAGUUGGCGGGGCGGCGGCUCCGGCGGCCAACACCACCGCUCCUCCUCCUCCUCCUCCUCCUCUCCGGCGUGGCACAUCGCUGCAUCAGCCUCGCGAGAGUGCCCGGCGGUGCAGCGGGCUCGGGCUUCGCUCGCUCUCCCUCUCGAUCAGCCCCCGCCCCAACCCUAUGCGUCGCUCCCUCUACGCCUCUACCAAUCAGGCUCAUAUCAUUUGGGUUGAAAGGUGUGGGUCACCUCCACCACCCAACAUGGACUUCUCUUCAGCUACAGUUCUGGGUUUCUGCUUCUUCCUGAUUUGAUUGCAAGUAGGUCACAAGCUCUGAAACUCGUGACUGCCUCCAUCAUGCCGAACAUGAGAUGAUCGACUGAAUAUGUACAUGCAAUCAGAUUCUUUUUUCCCUCUCGAAGUCUGCAUGUUCCCAUCAAAAAUGUUUCUCUGAAGGUUCUAGAAGUUUCAGAUUCAAACAAAACAUAAUUGCAAGAGAAGUACCAUGCCGUCAUUGGAAAAAUUUUCCACUGGAGGCAAACUGGCAACCGGAAAGCACAGUCACUACAGGGUUAUAGCAUGCCAAAGAAAGCAUUUCUUUUGAUAAAUGCAACGGAACCUCGAUAUUUAAAAAUGUGUAAUGUAUAUUUCUCCCGGCAAAAAAAAUGUUCAUUUCUCAGUUUUUCAAGUAUGCAACAGCAUGAUGCGUUCAACGCUGAUAAAACAAAUUGCUUGAGGCUUGCAAGUUGCAAAUGUACAGAAAUUACAAUGAUAUAGUUUCUGCAAAUGGAGUAGCAGAAGAGGUAUUGAAUUUGGGUUUUAA